CUGCAGCUCAAGUGGUGAUCAUUAUUAUUGGGCCUAAAACGUCCGUAGCCUGUUUAGUAAAUGCCUGGGUAAAUCGUGUAGCUUAACUAUACGAAUUCCGGGUAGACUGCUAAACUUGAGACCGGGAGAGGCUAAAGGUACUCCUGGGGUAGAGGUGAAAUUCUGUAAUCCUAGGGGGACCACCAGUGGCGAAGGCGUCUAGCUAGAACGGGUCUGACGGUGAGGGACGAAGCCCUGGGGCACAAACCGGAUUAGAUACCCGAGUAGUCC
This 270-nucleotide ribosomal RNA is filed under the name uncultured archaeon. Its description in RNAcentral is "partial 16S ribosomal RNA". It matches the Rfam family "Archaeal small subunit ribosomal RNA", at positions 477 to 747 of the family's 1478-position model. The record is from RNAcentral.